RNAcentral lists this ribosomal RNA (463 nucleotides) under uncultured bacterium. RNAcentral's name for it is "partial 16S ribosomal RNA". It matches the Rfam family "Bacterial small subunit ribosomal RNA", at positions 28 to 507 of the family's 1533-position model. The record is from RNAcentral.
GACGAACGCUGGCGGCGUGCUUAACACAUGCAAGUCGAACGGAAAGGCCUUUUCGGAGGUACUCGAGUGGCGCACGGGUGAGUAACACGUGGGUGAUCUGCCCUGCACUCUGGGAUAAGCCUGGGAAACUGGGUCUAAUACCGGAUAGGACCGCACUUUAGUGUGUGUGGUGGAAAGUUUUUUCGGUGUAGGAUGAGCCCGCGGCCUAUCAGCUUGUUGGUGGGGUAAUGGCCUACCAAGGCGGCGACGGGUAGCCGGACUGAGAGGUUGGUCGGCCACAUUGGGACUGGGAUACGGCCCAGACUCCUACGGGAGGCAGCAGUGGGGAAGAUUGCACAAUGGGCGCAAGCCUGAUGCAGCGACGCCGCGUGGGGGAUGACGGCCUUCGGGUUGUAAACUCCUUUCGCCAGGGACGAAGCGUUUUGUGACGGUACCUGGAGAAGAAGCACCGGCUAACUACGUG